This 2111-nucleotide ribosomal RNA is filed under the name Salmonella enterica. RNAcentral describes it as "partial 23S ribosomal RNA". It matches the Rfam family "Bacterial large subunit ribosomal RNA", at positions 711 to 2802 of the family's 2925-position model. Lineage: Bacteria; Pseudomonadati; Pseudomonadota; Gammaproteobacteria; Enterobacterales; Enterobacteriaceae. RNAcentral also lists the same sequence under 1 other name. The record is from RNAcentral.
AGACCCGAAACCCGGUGAUCUAGCCAUGGGCAGGUUGAAGGUUGGGUAACACUAACUGGAGGACCGAACCGACUAAUGUUGAAAAAUUAGCGGAUGACCUGUGGCUGGGGGUGAAAGGCCAAUCAAACCGGGAGAUAGCUGGUUCUCCCCGAAAGCUAUUUAGGUAGCGCCUCGUGAAUUCAUCUCCGGGGGUAGAGCACUGUUUCGGCUAGGGGGCCAUCCCGGCUUACCAACCCGAUGCAAACUGCGAAUACCGGAGAAUGUUAUCACGGGAGACACACGGCGGGUGCUAACGUCCGUCGUGAAGAGGGAAACAACCCAGACCGCCAGCUAAGGUCCCAAAGUCAUGGUUAAGUGGGAAACGAUGUGGGAAGGCCCAGACAGCCAGGAUGUUGGCUUAGAAGCAGCCAUCAUUUAAAGAAAGCGUAAUAGCUCACUGGUCGAGUCGGCCUGCGCGGAAGAUGUAACGGGGCUAAACCAUGCACCGAAGCUGCGGCAGCGACGCUUAUGCGUUGUUGGGUAGGGGAGCGUUCUGUAAGCCUGCGAAGGUGGCCUGUGAGGGUUGCUGGAGGUAUCAGAAGUGCGAAUGCUGACAUAAGUAACGAUAAAGCGGGUGAAAAGCCCGCUCGCCGGAAGACCAAGGGUUCCUGUCCAACGUUAAUCGGGGCAGGGUGAGUCGACCCCUAAGGCGAGGCCGAAAGGCGUAGUCGAUGGGAAACGGGUUAAUAUUCCCGUACUUGGUGUUACUGCGAAGGGGGGACGGAGAAGGCUAUGUUGGCCGGGCGACGGUUGUCCCGGUUUAAGCGUGUAGGUGUGUGUUCCAGGUAAAUCCGGUUCACUUUAACACUGAGGCGUGACGACGAGGCACUACGGUGCUGAAGCAACAAAUGCCCUGCUUCCAGGAAAAGCCUCUAAGCAUCAGGUAACAUCAAAUCGUACCCCAAACCGACACAGGUGGUCAGGUAGAGAAUACCAAGGCGCUUGAGAGAACUCGGGUGAAGGAACUAGGCAAAAUGGUGCCGUAACUUCGGGAGAAGGCACGCUGACACGUAGGUGAAGUGAUUUACUCAUGGAGCUGAAGUCAGUCGAAGAUACCAGCUGGCUGCAACUGUUUAUUAAAAACACAGCACUGUGCAAACACGAAAGUGGACGUAUACGGUGUGACGCCUGCCCGGUGCCGGAAGGUUAAUUGAUGGGGUCAGCGCAAGCGAAGCUCCUGAUCGAAGCCCCGGUAAACGGCGGCCGUAACUAUAACGGUCCUAAGGUAGCGAAAUUCCUUGUCGGGUAAGUUCCGACCUGCACGAAUGGCGUAAUGAUGGCCAGGCUGUCUCCACCCGAGACUCAGUGAAAUUGAACUCGCUGUGAAGAUGCAGUGUACCCGCGGCAAGACGGAAAGACCCCGUGAACCUUUACUAUAGCUUGACACUGAACAUUGAGCCUUGAUGUGUAGGAUAGGUGGGAGGCUUUGAAGUGUGGACGCCAGUCUGCAUGGAGCCGACCUUGAAAUACCACCCUUUAAUGUUUGAUGUUCUAACGUGGACCCGUUACCCGGGUUGCGGACAGUGUCUGGUGGGUAGUUUGACUGGGGCGGUCUCCUCCUAAAGAGUAACGGAGGAGCACGAAGGUUGGCUAAUCCUGGUCGGACAUCAGGAGGUUAGUGCAAUGGCAUAAGCCAGCUUGACUGCGAGCGUGACGGCGCGAGCAGGUGCGAAAGCAGGUCAUAGUGAUCCGGUGGUUCUGAAUGGAAGGGCCAUCGCUCAACGGAUAAAAGGUACUCCGGGGAUAACAGGCUGAUACCGCCCAAGAGUUCAUAUCGACGGCGGUGUUUGGCACCUCGAUGUCGGCUCAUCACAUCCUGGGGCUGAAGUAGGUCCCAAGGGUAUGGCUGUUCGCCAUUUAAAGUGGUACGCGAGCUGGGUUUAGAACGUCGUGAGACAGUUCGGUCCCUAUCUGCCGUGGGCGCUGGAGAACUGAGGGGGGCUGCUCCUAGUACGAGAGGACCGGAGUGGACGCAUCACUGGUGUUCGGGUUGUCAUGCCAAUGGCACUGCCCGGUAGCUAAAUGCGGAAGAGAUAAGUGCUGAAAGCAUCUAAGCACGAAACUUGCCCCGA